GACGAACGCUGGCGGCGUGCCUAAUACAUGCAAGUCGAACGAGAGCGACCGGUGCUUGCACUGGUCAAUCUAGUGGCGAACGGGUGAGUAACACGUGGGUAACCUGCCCAUCAGAGGGGGAUAACAUUCGGAAACGGAUGCUAAAACCGCAUAGGUCUUCGAACCGCAUGGUUUGAAGAGGAAAAGAGGCGCAAGCUUCUGCUGAUGGAUGGACCCGCGGUGCAUUAGCUAGUUGGUGAGGUAACGGCUCAUCAAGGCCGUGAUGCAUAGCCGACCUGAGAGGGUGAUCGGCCACAUUGGGACUGAGACACGGCCCAAACUCCUACGGGAGGCAGCAGUAGGGAAUCUUCCGCAAUGGACGCAAGUCUGACGGAGCAACGCCGCGUGAGUGAAGAAGGUUUUCGGAUCGUAAAACUCUGUUGUUAGAGAAGAACAAGUGCUAGAGUAACUGUUAGCGCCUUGACGGUAUCUAACCAGAAAGCCACGGCUAACUACGUG
This 498-nucleotide ribosomal RNA is filed under the name uncultured bacterium. RNAcentral's name for it is "partial 16S ribosomal RNA". It matches the Rfam family "Bacterial small subunit ribosomal RNA", at positions 28 to 507 of the family's 1533-position model. The record is from RNAcentral.